This is a long non-coding RNA of Mesocricetus auratus (golden hamster), 1213 nucleotides long. RefSeq lists it as uncharacterized. Lineage: Eukaryota; Metazoa; Chordata; Mammalia; Rodentia; Cricetidae. The transcript has 3 exons. The record is from RefSeq and is a predicted model, not a curated record.
UUCAUCAGCUGGCCACCUGUCCCAUGGAGUCACCCAUCGCUAUCCCUCCAUGUCUAUUUGUCUCCGUCCACCCAUCCAUCCAUCCACCCACCCAUCCAUCCCCCACCCAUCUCUUUACCCAGAAGGAGGAAGGGGGGGCAGGAGGAGGAAGAAGCACCCAGCCGGAUGAGAUGGGCAGUGAAUUGGACUGACAGGGAGUCAAAGAAUCUGGAGCAGAAGCCGGUGGGAGGAAAUCAAAGGGGAUUGGCCUUGGCCUAGAGGCAAGAUUCCAUCCCUGCCUUCAGGAUUGACUUAGAAACAGACUCCACUUGGAAGUCUGCCCCAGACAGACUUGCUUUCUCUCAGCUGAGUGGCCAGGAAUUCCAGACCUGAGGAGCAUAGAGAGUGGGACCCUUAUUGUAGAUCAGAGGCAGUGAGUCCUCAAGAGAAGGGACACGCUUCUGUCAAGCAGAGAGGCAGCCAGACCCAGAUGUCUAAUUCCCAGGCUAGUGUUUUCCCCACCACAGUGUACCUCUCAGUUCCUACCCCACCAAUACUGUAAACAGACUCACUGUUCACCCCCUCAGCAUCUGACAGAGCACUGGGCCCAGAGAAGGAAACCUUCCCCAUUUCUACAAGCUCCUACCCCGACCCCCAAAUGUUACCAGCUGCGACAUGAACUCUUUUCUGGGGAGAUUGGCCAAGGAGCCCACUUACCCCAUGACAGCAGGACUCCUCCCUGCUCCCUUGAUGUCCCACUGUCCUCCCUCCUAGGGACUGUUCACAGAUGGGAAAAGGGAGGUAGGGGCUUACCCCCAGUCCCACGGUUCAGAGGUGGCACAUCCCUGCAUCUGCUGUCCUGCACUGAUCUGAGACAUGUGACAACAUGUGUAGCCUCUGGUGUUCUGGCCUCCAGGUGGCCUUGUGCCAUUGAAAUCAGGGGCCGAGGAUACACACAGUCUGCAGAGACAGGAGGUCUGUAGGGGUGCCGAGGGCUGGGCAGGGGAAGACACCUUGAGAACUGUUUUCACCUGCCACCUGCUCAGCCCCACCUAGCCAUGGAAAAUGUGUCCUGUCCUCCAGGCAGGGGAAAGAGCCGAGGGACGACCCAGCCGUAAAGAGACAAGUACGGUGCCAGCCUCAGGGCUGAAGAGCAGGAGAGCAGAUGAGAAAAGGGACAAGCUAGAAACCUGCCUACAAAUGGCUCUUUGUCAGUGUUCACUGUGCAACCAUG